Molecule: ribosomal RNA, 496 nt
Filed under: uncultured bacterium
Lineage: Bacteria
Description: partial 16S ribosomal RNA
Rfam family: Bacterial small subunit ribosomal RNA
Source: RNAcentral
GAUGAACGCUGGCGGCGUGCCUAAUACAUGCAAGUCGAGCGAACAGACGAGGAGCUUGCUCCUCUGACGUUAGCGGCGGACGGGUGAGUAACACGUGGAUAACCUACCUAUAAGACUGGGAUAACUUCGGGAAACCGGAGCUAAUACCGGAUAAUAUAUUGAACCGCAUGGUUCAAUAGUGAAAGACGGUUUUGCUGUCACUUAUAGAUGGAUCCGCGCCGCAUUAGCUAGUUGGUAAGGUAACGGCUUACCAAGGCAACGAUGCGUAGCCGACCUGAGAGGGUGAUCGGCCACACUGGACCUGAGACACGGUCCAGACUCCGACGGGAGGCAGCAGUAGGGAAUCUUCCGCAAUGGGCGAAAGCCUGACGGAGCAACGCCGCGUGAGUGAUGAAGGGCUUCGGAUCGUAAAACGCUGUUAUUAGGGAAGAACAAAUGUGUAAGUAACUAUGCACGUCUGGACGGUACCUAAUCAGAAAGCCACGGCUAACUACGU